AAUAGAUACCCCGGUAGUCCACCCCGUAAACGUUGGGAACUAGUUGUGGGGACCAUUCCACGGUUUCCGUGACGCAGCUAACGCAUUAAGUUCCCCGCCUGGGGAGUACGGCCGCAAGGCUAAAACUCAAAGGAAUUGACGGGGACCCGCACAAGCGGCGGAGCAUGCGGAUUAAUUCGAUGCAACGCGAAGAACCUUACCAAGGCUUGACAUAUACGAGAACGGGCCAGAAAUGGUCAACUCUUUGGACACUCGUAAACAGGUGGUGCAUGGUUGUCGUCAGCUCGUGUCGUGAGAUGUUGGGUUAAGUCCCGCAACGAGCGCAACCCUCGUUCUAUGUUGCCAGCACGUAAUGGUGGGAACUCAUGGGAUACUGCCGGGGUCAACUCGGAGGAAGGUGGGAUGACGUCAAAUCAUCAUGCCCCUUAUGUCUUGGGCUUCACGCAUGCUACAAUGGCCGGUACAAAGGGCUGCAAUACCGUAAGGUGGAGCGAAUCCCAAAAGCCGGUCCCAGUUCGGAUUGAGGUCUGCAACUCGACCUCA
RNAcentral lists this ribosomal RNA (543 nucleotides) under uncultured bacterium. Its description in RNAcentral is "bacterial SSU rRNA". It matches the Rfam family "Bacterial small subunit ribosomal RNA", at positions 777 to 1320 of the family's 1533-position model. The record is from RNAcentral.